Molecule: long non-coding RNA, 462 nt
Organism: Monomorium pharaonis (pharaoh ant)
Lineage: Eukaryota; Metazoa; Arthropoda; Insecta; Hymenoptera; Formicidae
Exons: 2
Source: RefSeq, a predicted model, not a curated record
CUCGUCGAGUUCAGGCGACACUGUCGGAGUGCACUGAAAGUGCGAGUUUUUUGCAUUCCCAACUAAACACGUCUGUUAUUCUCAGUGCCAUCUCAGUGCAGUUUUGUGGCGUAUUUGGGCGUAUUGUGCUACUGUAUAACCAUGGAAAGUUUGACCGAUUUGACUAUUUCUUUUAAAGUCAACAAUGAUAUAAUAAAUAUUACUCUUCAGCCGCUUGAAAUAGAUUUGUUUAAUAAAUUAAAGAGAAAACAAGCAUAGUAAAGAACGUCUUAAGCCAUUCUACAAUUGCAUAAACGUGAUUGUAGAUCUCCUUUUUUUGAAAUUAUAAAUAUUUAUUUACUAUUAGCAUACAUUACAAGAAACGUUUCGACUCUCUGUUUGGGUCUUCUUUAGUAUUCUUUCGAUUUGUAAACAAUAUUAUAAUGUUCUCAAUCCAAGGUCUGAUUAAAAUAAUAGGCAAGC